Molecule: long non-coding RNA, 14073 nt
Filed under: Malus domestica (apple)
Lineage: Eukaryota; Viridiplantae; Streptophyta; Magnoliopsida; Rosales; Rosaceae
Description: long non-coding RNA (MDOM_LNC002270)
Source: RNAcentral
CAUCGAGGCGGAGUUGACGAUCUUGAUGGUACGGGUGAUGUUGAUCUUUCCGUAGUGGUACGAGCCCUGAGGAUUAGGCCUGGCAGCGCUGGCAGUAAGGUUCCAGCGGAAGGAACGGAACUGGUUGAGAGACCAGGCCCAUCCUACAGGAGCUUCGGGGAGCUCGGGGGAUGCAGGGCCGUUACUGUUUUCAUAGCGGAUUAUGCCUUUGCCGGUGAGCACGGUCUUGGUGAAUCGGGUCGAGGCUACCAUGUAGUAGUCCUUGCGCUCUUUGUCGGCAGUGACGAGCAACGAGAAGCAUUGCCCCAAGUGCACGUCAAGGGACUCGUAGGUGUUCUGGACGGUGUGGGAGCCUUCCAUCUCGACAAGCUUUAAGGGGUGGCCUUGGAUCCUGAAGUUGAGGGAGUUCUUGAAGCCCACGUUGCAGACCCUGUACUUGUAGGUCUUCCCUGGCUUCAUGGUGAAGAGGGGCUCGUCUUUGCCGUCUCCCUUGGCGUUCUUGCCGUUGAUUAGGAUGCCGUCGGGCCUUCCCAUGGUGCGGCCGCUGUCCAAUAAUUUCUUGAGAGCGGUGUGACUUUUGGUGUACCAGUCGCCGAUCAUAACGGUGUAUUCAUCCUCGGGAUCAGCAUAGGGGACGGGAAUGAGCAGACGACUGUUGAUGCGGAGUCCACCAAAGCCGCCUGCUGCCCUGUGCAUGGCAGUGACGGGAUAGUACAUGUAGCUCCCGAUCUGAUCCUUGACUUGGAAGCGGUAGGUGAAGUUGGUGCCAGGGACGAUGGGGCACAUGGUUCCAAGGGUUCCAUCCUGCCACGAAUUCUUCCUCUGCUGGAUGCCGCUCCAUGUCAAAAGGAAUGGCUCAUCGAGGUUGUUGAAGACGUUCAAGACGAUGUUGUUGUUGGAGGUGGAGUUGAUGUUGGGUCCUGGGAACUGGCCAUUGAUGAGAAUUGCUUGCUGGGGGACUCCGAGGGGAGAGAUGGUUCCGUAGGUGACAUUCCAUGUGAAGAACAGGUAAGGGUCUUCGCCCUGGACCACUGAAAGUGCCCCGGCUGUAAGGCACAGCAACAACGCAUACAUCACGGAAGCCAUAUCUCUCUCUCUUAUUCCUAUCGAUCUAUUAAUUUCAACCCUUUCCUCACGCAAUAUAUAAUUAUUAAUUCCUAUCGAUAUCUAUGGUUUUAUUUGAAGAAGAUUGUUGCUUCUUCUUCUACGAUCUUUCUCGUUCCCAAUUCUUCCCUUUUUAUACACUUGUUUCACAGUUUUUCCACCGCUCAAAUUAACUUUCCGGAAACGUCUCUCAGCCCGCCCUUCUUUCUUGUCCCUUGCAUUGCGCCCGCCCUUUCAUUUUCUUUUCCUACUAUUUUUUCACCUUUGGACCCCUUCUCCUUGACAAACACAAACACGCAUGCACAAACGAAACAACCAAGACCACGUCAAAAGAUUCAACCACCCGUGGCUAAAGGUAGUUAUUUUAACCGAAAAUAUUGUGCCGGGAGAUUGCAAUACAUAAAAUGAGCCAUUUUAACUUGAGAAACUUUCUUUUUUGUUUUUUUGUUUGUUUAUUGAUAGGAUUAAAUUUACACCACAAAGUAGCAUAAAAUGUCCUAUUAAUUUUCCUUAUUAACACUAAGAUUUGUUAUUUGUAACAUACGAAAAUAUAGGAUUUUUUCCGUGGAAGAUUGUCUUGCCUAACUUCUUAAAGUACCACAAAAACUAGGUUGCUAUCCUAAUGACCAGCCAUUGAAAAAUAAUUAUUAGACUAACUUACAGUUAUCUAAAUUCAAUGAAAUUUUAUAUACAAACAGACACACGGAGGUACACUCACACAAAAUUUCAAGAUUUUUGGAGUUGGUUUGCUAUUUUAAUUAAAUUCAACAAAACCAUAAUAGCAACAAUGAUAAAAUGACGAAAAAUAGAAUUUAGUUCACAAAUUAAGAAAAUGAGUUAGGGGAAGUGCUAUCCUGUCACAUCCCGGCCCGAGACGGACCACUUCCCGGGCCCGCUCCACCACCGUAACACAAUAUUAUCCGUUUUGGGCUUAUCAUUCCCUCACGGUUUUGUUUUUAGGAACUUACGAGCAACUUCCCAGGGGUCACCCAUCCUGGGAGUGCUCUGGCCCCUUUUUUGCUUAACUUCGGAGUUCCUAUGGAACCCGAAGCCAGUGAGCUCCCAAAAAGCCUCAAGCUAGGUAGGAAUGAGAAUAUACAUUUAAGGAUCACUCCCCUAGGCGAUGUGGGAUGUUACAUAUCCAACACCAAAUAAUCAUGCAAACAUGUUAUCUUUCAUUCAAAUUCCUUUUAUUUCUAGAUCAAGAUGCUCAAGUUGGCUCACUAUUAGAACUCAACUUAUUACUCUCUCUUACGUAGUAUGUUAAGAGAAUGGUGUUUUCAACUUAAUCUCUAGUAUGCAAUCUAGAAUGGCGUGUUCAUCAAUUUAUGAUGUAGAAAUCAUUAAGAACGAAAAGAGUUUGAGUCAACACAGGGCAUCGUAAAUACUGGCGUUGUCUUACUUAUCCUAGAAAUUGGUUCACAUGUUAAUUGCAAUUAACAAAUACUACUCUAGAACAUAUGUAGGUCCUCAUUCGGUAAGGGUAGGCACACACAUGUUCAUAGCAUUAGAAUCCUAUAUAUGCUUACAAAGUAUGCAUCCAUAGAAAACACAUAAAGUAUUCAUCACUAACAUAGGUAGUGAACCAAUUUUCAUCCUUCAUAAGAGAAAUUCAAACAAAAAGUCAUAACAAACUUGCAAUCAUUUUUUAGGCUUCAAACAGCCCCUAACUUCUAGAAAUUAGUUACACAUAAUUCUUAAAUUAAACCAAAAGAAAGACAUGAGUUUGAGAAGAUGAAACCAAAAGAAUAGAGUGUUAUCCUUGUUGCUUUUCCUCACUCGUUCUUGCUGCCUUCUUGUUCUCUUCUUCACAUUUGGCUUCUUUUCUUUUCUUUUCAUAACCUUUCAAAUGUGUUAUGGUUUCCAUCAUCAUGAGAAUUCAUUCCUAAUUAAAGCCAAUUAGUAUGGAGACUUGUGGAUUUCUUCGCUGCAUCAAUUGUGGCCGUUAGGAUUUAUUGUGUUUAUUGCCUUCAUUGCUUUCUUGUCAAUUACAAACUGCUCAGCCUUUAGGGAACAUUUCAGUAUUAAAAUAAGCAUAACUUCUUAUUAAAAAAUGAUAUAAAAGUCGUAAAGUGCUCUAGAAAAUAGACAUUCGUAGCUUUCCACGCACAUUAAAACUCAUUCUCUGAUUCAUUCUGAGUUGUUCGCAACUCGCUGCCAAAGUCAGCUGAUCUGCACAGGCAAUUUUGACGAAUUUGCUAUUUAAAAUCUCAAUUGUGCUCCCUUUCUUUUCUUUGCCUGAAAAAAUCCUACAAAACACAAAAACAAAGUAAAUAGCUCAAAAAUACAAGGAACUAACUUAGAAAAGACAAGUAAAUUUGAUGUAAAAAAAAAAAUAUAUAUAUAUAUAUAUAUAUAUAUAUAUAUAUAUAUAUAAGCUUAUCAAAUACUCUUACACUUAACUUUUGCUAGUCCUAGGGCAAAAUAAAGAAAACAUGAAAAAGUAGUAACACGGAAAACAUUAGCUUCCCCCUAUGUGACCCUCACAGAAUUUCAUUCAAGAGAACAGAUCAUUGAGAACCUUAGUUAGCACAAAACAAGCUAAUCCAAGCUAAUCUUCCUUGUUCAAAUGUUAGCAGUAACUUUUUGAUCAUCCUUAAAGUGUAGUGUGUGUAAUAGCCAUGCUAAUACAAUUUCAAGUUUCUUUAAAACACCACAUGUAGACAUGUGACCUUCUCACAGGACAUACACUCAUUCCCAUGUAUGUCAAGGUUAACGUGUUUCGCUCAAGAAAUCAAAUGCGAAAGAUCUACCAUAAGCUUGCAUAACGAUCUUAUCUCCACAAUCAUAAUUGCAAGACACAGUUGUUUACUGUUUUGCAGGUUGCUCAGGUAUACUUGGAUAUGCGUUUGACCACCGCCCAUGGAGGUGCACGAAUUUGGUUUCAACAAUUGGUGCUUUCAUUGAGAGAAGACUCAUAUUCUUCUCAGCCAGAUCACUAUGCCAUAUGGAAGUUAUGUCCAGAAGAACAUCCCAUGAUCAGGACACAGGCACAAGGGAUGAUUAUGCCCCAUUUAUAAAUCCAGUCUAGGAAAAUGCUCUAAUGAUAUGCACAUCAACAAGAGAUCUUAAAAAGAACUUAUGAACCAGGGAACAAGCUAACCACUCCAAACUAGAUGAAAGGAUGAAAGCUAUCAAAGACACAAUCGCCCGUCUCGAAGUCUCUGGCCUUUAGGUUCCUCCAGGACAACGAACCCGAAUCUAAAUCACAUGGCCCCGAAACUUGUCCCAAUUAGAGGCAUUAAAGAACCAUCGAAGACCUUAGGUUUACUACCACCCCACCAUUCAGGGAAGAGAUAUUUCCCUAACAAUAGCCUUAAAGGAAGAAACUGGGACUAUUUCAAAAGGGCUUAGAAAGGGAAAAAGACGAUGCGAAAGGCUCAUCAUCCCAAAAAUCGCGCCACCAACCAGAAGACAUUCUCUCCCUCCCUAUAAUGCCCUUGUGGUCAAGUUGUAAUUCUCUGAUGCCAUGGUGGGCAAGUUCCUAAUUGACAACGAGUCAAAUGACAACUUCAUCUUCAUACACGUAGCUAGAAUGAUGGGUGUCCUCGACAAAAUCAACUUCAAAAGAUCCACCAUUCAAGCUCUUAAUGGGGUCCCACACAACAUUAUGGAAACUGUACAACUCAAGGUAUAGGAAAAACUAUUUGAAUAUUUGAUGGCUUUCUAUGUGAUAUGUAACGACCAAUCUUAAAAAUUUACGUUUUAAUUCAUUAAAAUUAUGAAAAUACCCCUAAUGACGAAAACGUUGACUUCCGUUAACAUGUAGGAAAUUUUCUUUUAUUUUAUUUUUGUAGCACUCGUUGAUACGAACGUGUAGACGAGAACGAAAUUGAAUUCAAAGCUAAAGCUUUUACGAAUUUUUGAACGUCAAGGGCAUUUUGGUAAUUUCACAAUUAAAGAUAUUUCUCCACUUUGGGCUUCUCCUAGAGUGACACGUGGCAAUUUCCCUUAUUUCUGGGGUGUUCUUCCCGUGACCCCUUUUUCCCUAUUUUCCUAUUCUUCUUUUUCUUUUCCCCUAUGAACUUUUCUCUUUCUAGAACAUUAUCUAUCUCUCUCCUUAUCUAUCUUCCUCUCAUCUCUCAACUCUUCUCCUCUUUCCGGAAAAGCACACAAACAUCAUAACCAUGACAAGACAUCCACCACUGUUCCCAUCAUGCUAGAGCCGAUCACCACCAUUUGGCAGCGACGGGAAUCACUAUCCUCGACUAGGCACCCAUAUAUCUCUCUCAUUCUCGGUACUGUAGCACAGUCACUGUGCUUGUGUUCUCCGGUGAGUUACGUUGUCUACGACCAAGGUAAACCUUCUAGAACUCCUUAGAUCAUGCUUUUAAGUUAGAUUAGAAUAGUUGGUAUGUGUUAAUCAAGUGUUGGACGCUAGAAACAGCUUGGGGGAAACUUUUCCUAGAUUUUGGCGAGAACUGUCGUCUUCCGUGCCAUUUUCCAGCCAACUCCGCCCACAAUACAUCUCUAAAAUGGUACAAACUUCUUCUUAUCAUUAUAAGCUUCAUUUCCAUAGCUAGAACGUUGAAAAUUGUGAAGAAAUGAGCUCGAACGGAGCUCUAGAAACUCUGCCCAGAUUUCGGCUGACCCACAGCCUGAAACCGGGUCGACCUGACUCGCAACCCAAAAUCGAACCCAACCCAACUACCAGGCCCAAUCCAAUAACCUAGUUCAACCCAGUAACUUUAAACUCAGAUUUGACCUGACCUUGACCCAAUCCUAGUUUCCAUGGUUGGCGCGUGGGCUGCGUGUGGAUGCGCGUGGAUGGCUAUCUUAGCCGGUGCGUGGAGCAUACGCACCUCUGUCAACCACGACAGCGACUACGAGUUUUUCGACGACCAAUCUCUGAGCGUGCAGUGGUGUGUAGCCUUACGAGUCACUGCCUUAUGGCAGAGCGUGGGGAAACCUGAGGUCCCUCCUUAGGUUUUUCGACGUGCUAAAUCUGAAUCCGCUAUAUGUUUUCCCAAUUCUAUCGUUUUAGUAAAGUUUUAUUAAAUGGUCUUUAUUUGUGUUUAGGUACAUUGGUUGGAAGUGACCCUUUCCUCCCUAGUUCUAGCGGUUCCCUAGUAGCGGAAUAUUUAUGAGUGGAUCACUUCUUAAAUUGCAUAUUUUAAUAUAAUGCUAGGCUUGCAUUCACAAAAAGAAUGAUUUCAUGAUUUUACGUUUUAUGCAUUAUUUAUGAUUUAUCAAAUUUACGUUCUACGAAAGGUUAUGAAUUAUUGGAUUUUCGUAUAUGAAAUUCUAUGGAUUUAUGAAUAUGAUUUAUUUUGGAUUUAUGAAUUGAGGCUUUGAGCUUUUGAGCUCCGAAUUUGAUAUGAGAUUUUUUAGAUACGUUUUUUGUGCUUAUUUAGUGGGUUAUCAUACAUCACAUUCACACAACCGAGUAUGUUAAUGCCUUUGGUCAUAGAACACAAUUGAUGAUGUUUAUGACAUACUACCAACUUCACUAGCCACGGCUAGUGUCGAUGUUUUAUGUUAUAUGUAUAUGUUUCUUCUUUGGUGUAACCCAGAGUCAUACAGCUUCAUCUUCGGGUGAUGGACCCCUAUAUUUCUUCAUUAGCGUAAACUAGUGUCGUACAGCUUCACCUUCAGAUGAUGGACCUAUUACGUACGUUUCUUCUCUGGCGUAACGCAGAGUCAUAUAGCUUUACCUUUGAGUGAUGGACCCCUAUAUUUCUUCACUGGCGUAACCUAAUGUAGUACGGCUUCACUUUCAAGUGAUGGUUAUGUCUUCGGGCCACUAUGAUACCCCUAGUUGAGUAUACCAUUGAUUUAAGUUAUGAGAUUUUUGGGUUUUGCCUUCUGGCGUUUUGAUACCACCUUUAGAGAUGAUUUUUAUUACUACAAACAUUUUUGGCAUGUUAGAGGUUUAGAAAACCUAUAUGUAGUAUUAUAUACAUUUUCAAAACCGGGGGGAAGGGGGUUCACAAAGAAAUUGGCUUUUAUUAUUAUUAGUAUUAAUAUAAAUUAUGGUCCACUCACCUUUUGUUUUUGCGCCCCCUCAGGACAUAGUGACGAGGAAUAUGAGCAUCGAGGCAUUUCCUUACUAGUGAUCUAGCGUUCUUCCACUUGCGUAUGGUUUUCUUUUAUGAAUAAUUGUAACUAGAUGUCUUACCUUUCACUAGUAUUUCCAUUUAGUGGUAUGCUCUGGACAUAUUCGUACAUCUUUCAUUUUGAAAUUGUAGCUAUUGGACAUUCUGUUUUGAUUAUGUUUAAUUUGGAUUAUUAUUAUUGCCUCUUAGCAUUUGUAUAUUCUUGAGGAUAUGAUUUUUUGAAUUACUUGUUCUCUCUUGUCCUCGCAAAUUCAUAUAUUCAUGGCUUUCAUCACUUUCAAGUGGCGGCCAGCAGGUGCCAUCCAUGUCUCAUUUAGAUAUCUGGGUUGAGGUGUGUCAUGAUAAAUAGCUCAUCCUCUACAACACUAUCCUUGAUCGAGAAUGGUUGCAUUGACACUAUCUCAUCAACAAGUAGUACCUUACCUUGCUACCUAAGAAUAAUGACGAACAAAAAAGCCCGAGAAAGAUAAAAACUUGUGCUGAGAGAUAUGAUCCCGGCUAAAGAAAAUCAAACCCCUUACUGAUUAUUCCAAGGAGUACCUCACUCGUUUAAAACAAGGCCUAAACUUUGAAAACUGCACACAUAUGCAAGUCUCAAAAAGUUCAAAGUUACACUGUUAGAAGAGCCUUUUUAGCCAGUUCGUCUUGAACGGUUAGCAACUUGAGCUCAAGCUGUAAUAAGAACAAUAACGGUCGUCGGGCUAGGGGCAUAGGCACAUGACGCCUUGACCCAAUGCACCAUACGACCUCCAAUAUGUUUAUACAACCAGUAAGGUUAUGGGUUAUAACUACGCCAUUCAAGGGAAUAGUCGAAAGCACGAUCCAGAAAUCAUCAAAUGGUGGCUCUGAAAUUCGACCCUGAGUACGACUAUUUGCAUCAUGAACCAGCAUACUAAGCCAAGUACGUUCUACAACACUAUGUGUUAGCAGGUUCGAAUGGGGCAUCAUCCAUAAUAGGUAAUCCCCAAGAAGAAUUUUAUUCCAAUUGAGCUCCAAUAUGUGAAAAUGCUUUGGUCAGGCCAACCAAGGUGAUCUGAUCGGAAACGCUAAGGUCCGACACAUAUGAUUAAAAAAAUGUUUUCAGCCCACCUACGGGCGACCAGGUCUCCAAAGAACUUUCAUUUAAGAUUCAAUAGAGUUGAACACACAAUUUGGGCUAGGAAGAUUUCCCCUUAGGCAUCACGUUGCAAUCAUGAAAGCCUGUGACCCGAGAACUGGGGCAAUGAGUAAAACAAUCAACACAUGUUUACAGAAUAUUUUUAAAACCAUGAUUUUUCAAGGCUGGAGUAAGGCUGGUCCAAAUACAGUUACCUUAAAAGUCUAGUAUAGACUCACCAGCUCCGAGUUGAGUUAUAUCGGACAGAGUAGCGGUGCCACCAUCAGAUCCUAUAAGUCUUCGAGUUCCUACAACCUAGGGAUUGGCAUGCGCUGUAAGUAAUCAUAAUUCUUAAGAAGGUGCAAUAUCUACUUCUAGAUAUCAUCUAGGAUUCUCCCAACUUAGAAUGAAGUUUAUAUCCUAAAAAUGUCUCUCUCCCCAUGGUAUAAAUACAUCGAUUUAGGGUUCAUCUAUAGUAACACAAUCUAAACACUUGAAUCAUCUUGCCCAUUGUUUGAGUCUAAAAUCAUUCACUAACUUGACUGUCGGAGAGUCUUGGCCGACACACACACCCUCUCCCCGCGGUCUUAGGCUUGUCCACUGUUGUUUACUGUUUUGCCGGUUGCUUAAGUUUACUCGAAUUUGCACUCAACCACCGCCCAUAUAGGUGCACAAAUUUGGUUCCAACAUUAACUGAUAAUUUGGCCUUCAAAGUCGUGCAUUGGCUCGAAUGAAUAACUAUCGAAUAACUAGGUUUUUCUGAAAUCCGUGCGUUGGCUCUAGUGAUGGACUACUGAAUACUAGCUGGGCUCUUGAAAAAUCAUGUGUUAUCUCUAGUAUAAUAACUUGACCAAUUCCCGAUGUUUGAAUUGGUUUCCCGAGUGACUUCGUGUGAAGUCACUUGUGAUUGUGAAGAGGCUUGUUGGAGAAUAAGAUCUCACAUCGAUUACAUGACAAUAUAAUAUACAAUUAAUAUAUGGGAGUUUCCACCUUUAAUAUUACUGAAGCCUUUUGUGAUAAAACCUAACAACUAGUAAUAAGUUGUUAAGUUGGGAUAAUAUCGGUGAUGUUGGUGGUGGACCAUGUUAUGCCUAUAAGUUUAUUUAGAAAUGUUACUCUUACCACAUUUGUACCACCUCAAUAGAGAUGUGACCCAUAUAUAUUGGUGUGUCUACCUCUAUUAAAAAGGUUGUACAAAUACAAUAUGAAAAAUGUGAUAAUUGUAUUACCCUCUAUAUACAUGGAAAAUGCCAGGGAGACCUAUCACAUUUUGUAAACCACAUGAUGUGACGAUAAGUAAGACUUCAUAAUUUAAAGAAUUUAAUAAACAAGACCAAUGGUCAACCACAUUAUGUAAUUUACAAAAUGUGAUUUAUAAAAACAAUCUUUCUAAAAUUACUCUACAUAUACAUAAAAGAAAAAUAAUAAAAUGGCAAAAUAAACCAAAUAAAUAGGUGUAAAAAAUAGAUGAUAAAAUAUUCCAAAUUAAAUAUAGGAUUAAUAUUAGUUUACAACCUUGAAGUUUCUUGGUUUUCAACAUUUAGUACAUCAAGUUUUUUUCAUAACAGAGUGGUACUUGAAGUUAUAAUUUUGGGACACUUUCAUACAUCCAUUAAGGUUACUGUUAAAUUAGCCGUUAGCCAGUGACGUGGCACCCACAUAAACAAUGAAUGGACGUCAUGUGUCAAUAUGGGCCUACGUUAUCAAAAAAAUUAUAAAUUCACAAAACUCUUUUGCUCACUUGCCAAAAUUUUUGUUUUUCUUCCCUUUUUCCCCUCUCCCCUCUCAAUUUCCUGUAUUUCAUGUUUUUUGUAUUUCCUUCCCAAGGAUCAAGAAGCUCCUCACAGACGGAAGUGAACUUCCAGCACUUGGACCUACCCCAAUAGAGCCAUCUCAACUACCUUCCUUUUUUUUGCAAGAACCAAGAAGUCGAAGUCGAAAUAUAAUUGGUUGGUUGAGUGGGACGGAAAGAAAUCGAAGUCAAAGUCGAAUGGGUCAAAAAGAUUUUGGGGAUUAGGGUUUUUGAAAAGGUCGGAAUAAUAGGAAGAGAGAAUGGAAGGAAGGUGAAGAGAGUAGGGGAAAGGGAAGAUGUGAGUCGGGUAUGGAAGUGAUGGGUCGGGAGAUUCUAAGAUUGGGAGCGGAGAGAAGCAUAUGAAGAGGCGGUCGUUGUGACGUCGACGCCGGAAAAUGACGACGGAGAAAGGUGGUCAGAGAUUUGGGAGGGGCAGGUGGUGGAACCAAGUGUGAAGAUUAUGAAGCGCUUUUUGGAGGAGUAGGCAUUCCAGCUUUUUCCAGCUAUAUAUACAAUCCUUUUUUUUUCUAUUUUGCUUUUGGGAAAUUUUAUUUAAACCCAUGUAACCUCUUUCUACACCCAACUUAAAUUUUAAAUGUUAAUUGUCUAUUUUACCCUAUUGCAUAAUUACUAUUAAGUACAAAAUGAAAUUAAUAAUAAAACUUAAAUUUCUCAAUAAACCCAGACACUAUAAUUAAACCCCUAGCAUCACCCUUUGUAUCCUACCUCCAUUUUGGCUAAAACCCUAAUAGUUCUGAUAGAGAAAAACAAGCUUUUUUAUUGAUGGAUAGUGAUUUUGAAGUUUUGAAUCCUCUAACUAAGGUAUGACUUGAUUUAUGAAUAUUUUGUUUGUUUGCUUCUUCUUUGGAUUACAUUCCAUACUUAUUAUAUUAUAUUGUAUCAUAUUUGUUUGUCUCUGUCGUCUGUCUGCCCCCAAAACACCAUUGCAAGAACUUUUGAUAGUAGUGUAAAGACAUAUAACUUGAUUCUUGGUGCAAAUAAUGAUUGUCCAACCUCAUAAACCUUGACCACUCACUAGCGGUGACAUGUCUCCAUCCAAAUCCAAAGCAUCAAGGUCAAAGGUUUAUGACAAAGUGAAGGACUGAACUAGAGCUUGCAUUGCAUUUUCUAGCAAAUUCAAAUCUAUAGAAGGAUCUCUUGGAUCCCAAGUCUAUGGAUGGGUUUGGUAGCAGGAAAAAAAAAACAGCCAUGGAAAUGCUAGUCAUAUGCAAUUAUACAGGGGCAAAGGAAAGUCAUUAGGAUCAUAGGCUGGGUUAAUCUGCAUGAGCCAAAGAGAGAGAGCAUAAAGAUCUUUACAUAUGUGAAACAUAAACCAGAAAAAACAAAUUUAAUCCAAUCACUUGGAACUUAUAUGUUAAACUUUACCUUCACAGCACCAAUCCCAAACUCUGGAUCAACCAGAAUUUCAUCACGUAUUAUAGGAAUUCUUCUUCCAUUGAAAGGAUGGAUUGAAAGGAUGGAUGGCAUGUUGUCUAUACCUCUCGUCAUUAGGAUGUACAAUAAUGGCAGUAUCACCGAGCAUAGUUUCCACUCUAGUGGUGGCCACCAUAAUCUCACCAAAGUCUUCCUCUAGAGUAUAAGCAAAUGAAGUUAACAUGCCAAAUUCAACAAGGUUCUCAUAUCCAAGAACCUUGAGUAAUGUCGUAUCUCGAAUAUCAAUAUAAUCAACCUAUUCAAACCCAAAAAAAAUCCAUAAAUAUAAGCUGCAAAAUAAGGAAGAAUAUGCAGGUAAAAGAAGAAGGCUAACCUCAAUGUCAGAUAUUGCUGUAAGCAACCCACAAUCCUAAUUGACUAUGCGAUUAUCCCUGCAAACAAAACAUACCAACGAAAUCCAAAAAGCUUAGCAACCAAAGUGAAGAAAAAUUCAAAGACAAGAAGGUAAUUUAUAAACUUAUAGAUGUGGAUGAUUAUAUAAGGUAAUUGGUGUACACGGUUGUCAAGUUUCAAUCCUUAUCCCGAAAAAAAAAAAACAUUCAGUUAGAGAUGUUAUUUUAUAAAGGGAAUGGGUGUAAAGAUAACUUUAUAUUUUGAAUUGGGUUUGAGAGGGUAGUGUAGGUAAUAAAUUUGGGUUUAAAGAGAUAUUAAUUCUUUAAUUAAAAAAAAAUAUGUAUGAAGAGAGUAAGUUGGAUGUAGAAAGAGGUUAGAUGUGUUCAAAUAAACUUGCCCUUUUCUUUUUUAAUUUUUCCUCCAAAUUUAUUUCGUUAACAAUUUUGGGGAAAAAAAUCUUUUGUGCCUCUGCUUCCCAAUUCCUGUAUGCAUCGAAGAAAAAAAAAGGAAAAAUCGAAAGGUGGGAGUGGAGUUGGAAGACUGAGGCGGGACGAGAAUGAGACAAAUUUUGGGAUUUCAGAGGGAAAUGCACAAAACACAAAAGAGUUUUGUGAAAUCUUCAAUUUUUUUAUUUUUUAUUUUUUAAUAUUCAUGUGGACUGAUAUUGACACGUGACGUCCAAUCAUCGUCCACGUAGCACCACAUCCCCGGUUAACAACUGAUUUAACAGCAAACUUAACAAAUGUAUGAAAGACAAAUAUAUGAAAGUAACCCAAAAUUAUGACUUCAGGUAUCACUCUCGGAUGAAAAAAACUUGAUACACUAAAUGUUGAAAACCAAAAAACUUCAUGGUAGUAAAAUGAGAUUAAACCUUAAAUAGAAAGUACAAAAAUGUAACGGGAUUUCUUUUCAUUUUUUUGUCUGUAGGAAAAUGUAAUGCCAUACAUUCCAACCCUUCUUAUUCUUUACCAUUCCCUAACUUUGUUUGCUUAAAUAGCUGCGAAGAAAUACAUAAAUUGUAAUGAUCUCUCCUGUCUCACACUCACUCACACGCGCACACUAUUCGAAUCCUCCGCUGUCCUCUCCAUCCAUGUUGGUAUCUCUGUCAUAUAUAGCUAGUGUGAAGCGGCAUGGCAUGGCGGUGAAAUAUCUUACGUGCUGUAAGGCGGGGGCAUAGGCAUGCCCUUGACGAGGCCACAGACAAGGGCGUUGUCUGGCAUGUUGUACUCGUUCCUGAGGGAGCGUUUAAUAUUUUCAACUCCCACGUAGAGCUGUUGUCCUAGGUAGCGCCUCUCCGGCUGCUCUGACCUAAGAUUCCACAUUCCAGCGUUGUCGAAUGUUAAUAGGAUGGCAGCCCAAGAUUUGGGGAACACUUGGAUGGUGUGCCUGCUCAUGGCGUCGAGAAGGUUGUAGUUCUUCCUCUUUUCUGGGGUCCACUUCCCGGGCUCCACGCUGACGAUCAGUAGUCACACAGAUAGAGAAGAAAUCAUUAACAAUAUGAUACAUAUUUUGACGAAACUAUACAAGUAUAUAUUCUUAGUUAAAAGUGAAGUAGCUAUAUAUAUGUGCGUGCGUGCACGUGUGAGAAAGAGAGAAAGAGAAAGAGAGAAAAUGCAGGCAUGCAUAGCUGCACUUACGCGACGGCGAAAAAGGCGUAUCCGUUCAAAUGCCAAGUCUGGAGGCUCUUCUCCGGGUUCUCAAAGAUGAUCUCCACAAAGUCUUUUAUGGUUAUAUUGAGAACAUUGGGUUCCAUGGUGAUCUUUUCUGCAGGUGAUUGGGGAUCAACCUUCAUGGUGUCGAACUUGAAGACCUUCUCACGGAUUCCAUAGUAGUCGGCCAACUUGAGUGGGGUUUCAGGGUCCACGUGGGAGAUUCCGUUGAUGGCAUAGCGAAGCUUCCCGUCGGCCUUGCUAGCAGAGUUGAUGAGCUUGAUGGUGCGGGUGAUGUUAAUCUUUCCAUAGUGGUAGGAUCCCUGAGGGUUAGGCCUAGCUGCGCUGGCAGUGAGGUUCCAGCGAAAGGAACGGAACUGGUUGAGAGACCAGGCCCAUCCCACAGGAGCCUUGGGAACUUCAGGGGAGACAGGUCCCUUACCAUUUUCGUAUCUGAUGAUGCCUUUGCCGGUGAGCACGCUCUUGGUGAAUCGGGUGGAAGCCACCAUGUAGUAGUCCUUGGGUUCCUUGUCGGCAGUGACAAGCAUAGAGAAACAUUGGCCAAUAUGCACAUCAAGCGAAUCAUAG